UAUUGGAAAUUUGAACUGACCUGCAGCCCCACCUCUGGAGCUGGUAAUUACUGAUGGAGUGUUAAGGAGCACCUUAAAAAACUGAUCACCGCCAUCAGCACCUAACACACGUCCCGCAAGCCAACCACGAACUGGUGAGGAGUAAGAGGCUGGUGCAUCCACUGCUCCAACAUCCAGACAUGUGAGACAUGUCAUGCAUCUCUUUGUUACUAAAGAGCAAUUACAGUUUUUUUGCAAAGGGCAACCUUUUCAUGCAUCGAGAAAAAACAA
Molecule: long non-coding RNA, 270 nt
Organism: Pseudophryne corroboree (corroboree frog)
Lineage: Eukaryota; Metazoa; Chordata; Amphibia; Anura; Myobatrachidae
Exons: 3
Source: RefSeq, a predicted model, not a curated record